AGUAAGCAAGCGUUAGUGAUGGCAACGGCAUCCUUUUUCUGCUGAGGGAAAGCAGCACAAAAAGAUAUAGUAAAAAGCACGACCUGAA
Molecule: non-coding RNA, 88 nt
Organism: Polaribacter sp. Hel1_33_78
Lineage: Bacteria; Pseudomonadati; Bacteroidota; Flavobacteriia; Flavobacteriales; Flavobacteriaceae
Source: Rfam